RNAcentral lists this ribosomal RNA (266 nucleotides) under uncultured bacterium. RNAcentral's name for it is "partial 16S ribosomal RNA". It matches the Rfam family "Bacterial small subunit ribosomal RNA", at positions 793 to 1055 of the family's 1533-position model. The record is from RNAcentral.
GUCCACGCCGUAAACGAUGCGUGUUCGCUGUCGGGCCCGCUACAGGGUUCGGUGGCUUAGCUAACGCGGUAAACACGCCGCCUGGGGAGUACGGCCGCAAGGUUAAAACUCAAAGGAAUUGACGGGGACCCGCACAAGUGGUGGAGCAUGUCCAUUAAUUCGAAGAUACGCGAAGAACCUUACCUAGCCUUGACAUCCUGGUAGAGAUUCCCCGAAAAGGGAGUCGCAUUUAGUUGGACCAGAGACAGGUGUUGCAUGGCUGUCGU